CCUCGUCCUCACCAGCAUCACCGGGGGCGGUCGCGAACUGACGGUGCCGGCGGACCGCAUCAAUCUCGAGUUCGUCCUCGGCAACAAAGUGAUGGUCGGCAGCGUCAAUGCGGCCCGCGAGCACUUCGAGAGCGGCGUGCGGGACAUGGCGCAGGCCGAGCUCGAAUACCCGGGCUGGCUGACGCAGCUGCUCACGGAUCCGGUCAGGGGGCUCGAUCGCUACGAGGAGCUGUUCGCCAGGCUGCAGAGCCCGAAUGGCGCCAUCAAGAUCUAUUGCGAGGUCGCGGAGUAGCCGUGCGCGCCACGGGUGCACCGGCAUGUUACGCUUCGGCCACCAUG
RNAcentral lists this unclassified non-coding RNA (339 nucleotides) under plant metagenome. RNAcentral's name for it is "partial contains 5.8S ribosomal RNA, internal transcribed spacer 2, and large subunit ribosomal RNA". The record is from RNAcentral.